GAAGACCCAUUUCCAAGGGUACAUGGUGAAGUGCAAAUUAUGAGUUAUUGAAUAGUGUUUCUCAUACAAGUACAUUAAACUUUGGUUUUUAGCCAAAAUGUAGAAAUAAAGUAUAAGUUAGUAACAUAAAAAUAUAAGGUUUACUUAUAAAUGAACACAAUCUAAAAUCAAAUCGAUUCCAUUGGUUUGUAAAUUUGUCAAAUUGCAACUGAACAGGUAAAAUAAAUUAUCCAAAAGUAGGGUUAACCAUAUGAACAUACACCCAUUUCACUUAAGCCCAAUAAAAUAGGCCAUCUUAUGAGGCCCAGCCCCAGCUACAAGCUAUUAGAUGAAAAAAUAAUAUCAAGUAUCUGCCAUUAAAAGUGAAGGAAACACCUGACAUGUUUUCUUCUAAUUGACA
This 400-nucleotide unclassified non-coding RNA is filed under the name Hevea brasiliensis (rubber tree). The record is from RNAcentral. Lineage: Eukaryota; Viridiplantae; Streptophyta; Magnoliopsida; Malpighiales; Euphorbiaceae.